RNAcentral lists this ribosomal RNA (435 nucleotides) under uncultured bacterium. Its description in RNAcentral is "bacterial SSU rRNA". It matches the Rfam family "Bacterial small subunit ribosomal RNA", at positions 30 to 467 of the family's 1533-position model. The record is from RNAcentral.
AGCGAACGUUUGCGGCGGGCCUAACACAUGCAAGUCGAACGCACUAGCAAUAGUGAGUGGCGCACGGGUGCGUAACACGUGGGUAAUCAACCCUUCAGCUUGGGAUAACGACUUGAAAGGGUCGCUAAUACCGGAUACGGCGCGGGAGGCUUCGGCUUCUCACGAGAAAGCCUCGCAAGGGGCACUGAAGGACGAGCCUGCGGCCCAUCAGCUAGUUGGUGAGGUAAGAGCUCACCAAGGCGAAGACGGGUAGCUGGUCUGAGAGGAUGAUCAGCCACACUGGAACUGAGACACGGUCCAGACUCCUACGGGAGGCAGCAGUGGGGAAUAUUGCGCAAUGGGCGAAAGCCUGACGCAGCCACGCCGCGUGAGCGAUGAAGGCCUCGGGUCGUAAGCUCUGUGGGGAGGAGACGAACGGACGCCAUGAAGAGUGGC